UACGUAGGGUGCGAGCGUUGUCCGGAAUUAUUGGGCGUAAAGAGCUCGUAGGCGGUUUGUCGCGUCUGCUGUGAAAACUCAGGGCUUAACUCUGAGCUUGCAGUGGGUACGGGCAGACUUGAGUGCGGUAGGGGAGACUGGAAUUCCUGGUGUAGCGGUGAAAUGCGCAGAUAUCAGGAGGAACACCGGUGGCGAAGGCGGGUCUCUGGGCCGUAACUGACGCUGAGGAGCGAAAGCAUGGGGAGCGAACAGG
RNAcentral lists this ribosomal RNA (253 nucleotides) under uncultured bacterium. RNAcentral describes it as "partial 16S ribosomal RNA". It matches the Rfam family "Bacterial small subunit ribosomal RNA", at positions 524 to 776 of the family's 1533-position model. The record is from RNAcentral.